RNAcentral lists this non-coding RNA (29 nucleotides) under Rattus norvegicus (Norway rat). Lineage: Eukaryota; Metazoa; Chordata; Mammalia; Rodentia; Muridae. The record is from RNAcentral.
UAAACAGUAAGGUGACAUUUCCCUCUAAU